AAUUGGAGGGCAAGUCUGGUGCCAGCAGCCGCGGUAAUUCCAGCUCCAAUAGCGUAUAUUAAAGUUGUUGCAGUUAAAAGGCUCGUAGUUGAAUUUCGGGAUCAAUAUUUCGGUCAUGCCGUUGGUAUGCACUGUUAUCAUUGAUUUCUCACCUUCUAAAGAACCGUAAUGCCAUUAAUUUGGUGUUACGGGGAAUUAGGACUGUUACCUUGAAAAAAUUAGAGUGUUUAAAGCAGGCUCACGCUUGAAUACAUUAGCAUGGAAUAAUGAAAUAGGACAUCCGAUUCUAUUUUGUUGGUUUCUAGGAUCGAUGUAAUGAUUAAUAGGGAUAGUUGGGGGCAUUAGUAUUCAAUUGUCAGAGGUGAAAUUCUUGGAUUUAUUGAAGACUAACUACUGCGAAAGCAUUUGCCAAGGAUGUUUUCAUUAAUCAAGAACGAAAGUUAGGGGAUCGAAGACGAUCAGAUACCGUCGUAGUCUUAACCAUAAACUAUGCCGACUAGGGAUCGGAUGAUGUUAAUUUUUUAAUGACUCAUUCGGCGCCUUACGGGAAACCAAAGUGU
RNAcentral lists this ribosomal RNA (560 nucleotides) under uncultured Glomus. RNAcentral's name for it is "SSU rRNA". It matches the Rfam family "Eukaryotic small subunit ribosomal RNA", at positions 546 to 1106 of the family's 1831-position model. Lineage: Eukaryota; Fungi; Glomeromycota; Glomeromycetes; Glomerales; Glomeraceae. The record is from RNAcentral.